UACAUAGAUCUCUACAUAGAUCUCUACAUAGAUCUCACAUAGAUCUCUACAUAGAUCUCUACAUAGAUCUCUACAUAGAUCUCUACACAGAUCUCUACAGCCAGGAGCGACCGUGGCUGAUGGACUACAGAUCUGGAUUCUGGACUCCAGGCCUGAGCGGGACUUGGCUUUCAUUCCUCCUAUCACACCACAGCUCAGAUGUGGAGGAAGAGGAGCUGCAGGUGGAAACACUCGAGGAUGUUGUUAUCAGACAGUUUUCCCUAACAUAGUUCCUUUUUGAAUGAGAUAUAAACAUUUAAACUUUAUACUGCAUGAUCAUCUUCUCAGUCAGGCUAGGCGUUAUCUGUUGAGACUGUUUCUUUAGUCAAUCUGAAACUUGAUAGUGUGACACGGAAAUAUAAAUACAUCAUUGUUAAAGUUACUCAUUAACGAUAAGCUUCUACUAACUCUGAAAUACUGACGUGUGAAAUUCAAUAAACUAGUAACUUUAA
Molecule: long non-coding RNA, 491 nt
Organism: Sebastes umbrosus (honeycomb rockfish)
Lineage: Eukaryota; Metazoa; Chordata; Actinopteri; Perciformes; Sebastidae
Exons: 2
Source: RefSeq, a predicted model, not a curated record